GAAUCAUCGAGUCUUUGAACGCAUAUUGCGGCUCCGGGUCACUCCCGGAGCCACGCCUGUCUGAGGGUCGGCGAACGUACUCGCAAGACUGCCUUGCUCUSGGUCCCAGKCAAGUCUUGCGCCUUGGCCGUCGCGCUGCCGCUCCCGCGGAAGCCGGCGUCGGCCGUAGCGAAGAAGAAAGGGUUUCGCCCGUCCUAGGGCGCCGUCGACACCGUUCGUCGGACGCGGGUGUCCCUACCCCCGGCGCCGACAGCGUGGAGACGCGGCUCGCAUGCGUGCUUUCGCUGCGAGACCUCGCGCUCCUGCCGUCGCAAGUCCGCGGGUGAGCACUCCGGUCCGCUUAUGGGCCGUCGGUCCGUGCGCCUGCGAAAGCCCUGCGCCGAAAGACUGAGAAAGUGAGAGAGAGGAAAAGCGGUACGCUCUGACCGGCUCUCCCUCACUUCUCUUCUCACUCCGACCUCAGAUCAGACGAGACUACCCGCUGAAUUUAAGCAUAUUAAUAAGCGGAGGAAAAGAAACUAACC
Molecule: ribosomal RNA, 524 nt
Filed under: Cardites antiquatus
Lineage: Eukaryota; Metazoa; Mollusca; Bivalvia; Carditida; Carditidae
Description: eukaryotic LSU rRNA
Source: RNAcentral